CGCGUGAGUAAUCUUCCUUAGAGUGGGGGAUAACCAGUCGAAAGACUGGCUAAUACCGCAUAUGACCACAGGAUCUGCGGAUCCAGGGGUAAAAGGUUUUUCGCUCUAAGAUGAGCUCGCGUAAGAUUAGCUAGUUGGUGAGGUAACGGCUCACCAAGGCAACGAUCUUUAACAGGUCUGAGAGGAUGAUCUGUCACACUGGAACUGAGACACGGUCCAG
Molecule: ribosomal RNA, 220 nt
Filed under: uncultured bacterium
Lineage: Bacteria
Description: partial 16S ribosomal RNA
Rfam family: Bacterial small subunit ribosomal RNA
Source: RNAcentral